AUACAUGCAAGUCGAACGCACUUUCGUUGAAUGAAUUAGAGGUGCUUGCACCGAAGAUGAUUUUAGCUAUAAAGUGAGUGGCGAACGGGUGAGUAACACGUGGGUAACCUGCCCAGAAGUGGGGGAUAACACCUGGAAACAGAUGCUAAUACCGCAUAACAAAGUAAACCGCAUGGUUUACUUUUAAAAGAUGGCUUCGGCUAUCACUUCUGGAUGGACCCGCGGCGUAUUAGCUAGUUGGUGAGAUAAAGGCUCACCAAGGCAGUGAUACGUAGCCGACCUGAGAGGGUAAUCGGCCACAUUGGGACUGAGACACGGCCCAGACUCCUACGGGAGGCAGCAGUAGGGAAUCUUCCACAAUGGACGAAAGUCUGAUGGAGCAACGCCGCGUGAGUGAUGAAGGCUUUAGGGUCGUAAAACUCUGUUGUUGGAGAAGAACGUGUGUGAGAGUAACUGCUCAUGCAGUGACGGUAUCCAACCAGAAAGCCACGGCUAACUACGUGCCAGCAGCCGCGGUAAUACGUAGGUGGCAAGCGUUAUCCGGAUUUAUUGGGCGUAAAGCGAGCGCAGGCGGUCUUUUAAGUCUAAUGUGAAAGCCUUCGGCUUAACCGAAGAAGUGCAUUGGAAACUGGAAGACUUGAGUGCAGAAGAGGACAGUGGAACUCCAUGUGUAGCGGUGAAAUGCGUAGAUAUAUGGAAGAACACCAGUGGCGAAGGCGGCUGUCUGGUCUGUAACUGACGCUGAGGCUC
Molecule: ribosomal RNA, 750 nt
Filed under: Pediococcus parvulus
Lineage: Bacteria; Bacillati; Bacillota; Bacilli; Lactobacillales; Lactobacillaceae
Description: bacterial SSU rRNA
Rfam family: Bacterial small subunit ribosomal RNA
Source: RNAcentral